RNAcentral lists this ribosomal RNA (252 nucleotides) under uncultured bacterium. RNAcentral's name for it is "partial 16S ribosomal RNA". It matches the Rfam family "Bacterial small subunit ribosomal RNA", at positions 524 to 776 of the family's 1533-position model. The record is from RNAcentral.
UACGUAGGUCCCGAGCGUUGUCCGGAUUUAUUGGGCGUAAAGCGGGCGCAGGUGGUUUAUUAAGUCUGGUGUAAAAGGCAGUGGCUCAACCAUUGUAUGCAUUGGAAACUAGUAGACUUGAGUGCAGGAGAGGAGAGUGGAAUUCCAUGUGUAGCGGUGAAAUGCGUAGAUAUAUGGAGGAACACCGGUGGCGGAAGCGGCUCUCUGGCCUGUAACUGACACUGAGGCUCGAAAGCGUGGGGAGCAAACAGG